This is a long non-coding RNA of Rattus norvegicus (Norway rat), 1145 nucleotides long. RefSeq lists it as uncharacterized. NCBI's taxonomy places the organism in Eukaryota, Metazoa, Chordata, Mammalia, Rodentia, Muridae. The record is from RefSeq and is a predicted model, not a curated record.
GGCUGUCCCAGCUCCUGCGUGAACAAGCUCAAUUGGAGAACAAUAUACAGAUUUUGCUGAAUGAGAAGAGAGAACUGCUGGUGGAGCAGACUGAACUGCCAGCAUCUUCUGUGGAGACAAAGAGGUUCUGAGAAGAGGCUGGAAUGAACAUCUGUGACCCCAGAGCCAAGCAACUGCAGGUCUGAAAUUCUCCAGCCGAAACUCGAACAUGACACAGUCCAGGACAAGAUCUCCCUUGGAGAGAAGUGCUACAGGAGGACUAAGUGUGCACAGCAAAUGCACCACUAUUGCAUCUCAUCUGUACUGUACAUAGCAAUUGUGGACUGCAUUUUCCUCCUUUAGUUUGAUUUCUUUGGAUUGAAUACGCUGUAUUUUCACCUUGCCUCUCUCCAGCAAGUGUACACUUUUCGAGGGACUCAGAGAGGUGCUGAUACACAUCAAUCAAGAGCUGCUGGUCAUCCAGAAAGACUGUGCACGUGUAAAUUUGUACUUGUCCUGAUGGGUCAUCCAGAAGAGUUUCAUGGAGAUCAGUUCACAAUAUUGGAAAGACUUUGUGACAAAGUCUGUAAUAUCAUUUAUACUCAGUAUUGGUAGGCUUUUUCCUUAAUACCCCCACUCCAACAAAACAGACCUACUUCCACUCCUCUCGAAAAGAUUAUUACCAUCACUAACUGCUUGUCUACUAUGUCUCCAAGGCAAGCCAUAGGCUAUAAGUCUAUUCUGCAAAAGGAGCAGCAAAAAAUGCUUAGUGCAAUUCCUCUAUUUAAAGUUUGGUUAAUUUUUAAUUGUUUUGGUUAUUUGGUUUUCCUUCUAUUCAUUUGAAGAUUUGUUAUUUAUGUGUUGUUGUUGUUUUGUUCAUUUGCUUUUCUACUUUGAUAAGGAUAUAGACUGUAUAUAUUGACUACCUGCAUCUGGUUACUAUCAAGUAAAUUGGAUGUAUUCUGGUCAAUAAAGGAGUAAUCUCAAACUCUUCACUCUUAAGAACCUUCUUUAUUGAUGAUUAGUGUCAACAUCUGAAGUCCCACAGCUAUCAGGGAGGGAUGGAUCUCUGCAUUCUCAUGGGGACUGGGCAUCAAAUCACUUCCCAGUCAGACUGAGAUUCACAGGCAUUUAUACAGUCACUGUGCACUGUGUUUCCAACUCUG